Saccostrea cuccullata (small rock oyster) is the source of this 1160-nucleotide RNA transcript. RefSeq lists it as uncharacterized. The record is from RefSeq and is a predicted model, not a curated record. The transcript is spliced from 4 exons. NCBI's taxonomy places the organism in Eukaryota, Metazoa, Mollusca, Bivalvia, Ostreida, Ostreidae.
UAAAAAUUGUAGAUUUCCAAAACGUCGAUCUUUACUUAAAAAAAAAUCAAUCAGAUUUUUAAUAUUGUUGUAUCUUGUUAUACUGUAUACUUAUUAAUUUGCAAUUUAAUUAGAUCUAUAUUUAACAAUACAAAAACUCGCAUUUAUAAAUAAAUACGACUCAUCACUGUAUGAGUUGAUACGAAUUGAAAUAAACACGUGUUUCCGCUUUGGUGUAAACAUGAUGGUGAUCCGAAAUCUGAACGUCAAUUUUCAUGAUUAUUUCACGACGAAGAUCAUCACAUCAAUGAAUCAAAUAAUACGGACAUGCCUUUGGUAUUAGCAGUGUGCGUGUUUCGUAUCGUUCAGCCAAUUUUGCAUUGCUUUUGAACUUUGAUGCUUUUGACAAUCACUCGUAAGUUCAAAGUAAAAUCAAAGUUGUCAUAAUAAUGGAUAGUUGUUUUCAGUAUCUAUGUACCAGUGUGUACAUGUACCACUUUCACAUUGAAAUUUUAGGGUGCUUUCAGCAUAUUCAACAAUACUUUCAUCUGUGAAUACCCACUUUCUAAGCCCACCAUGAACUACGAAGGUCAAUUAAUAUGUAAGGACACCAAUGAACAGUUUUUCAGACACUUUCCAAUUAUCCUACAUCAUAUACAUGGAUGGUCAAACUCACUGGAUGGUUUAUCAACACUCCCAUGCUCACGAACAGCCUUGCGCCAGGAAUUUUGCCCUGAAGUAACAUUGCAGUCUAUUGUCUCCUUUCUUUUUACAACCCUGGCAGCCAUGCAGGAUAGAAGUUGAUCACUUGUACCUGACAGCAAAUAAUGUCUUGGACAAGUCAAAGAAUUUCCUCCAGUCUUACAGAGAAAUGACAGUUGAUAAAAGAAUGGUGGACACAAAGUAAAAGUGCACUUCAACAUUUUGUUGAAGAUUUCAGUCUGAUUUGGAAUUCAUCUUGCAAUAUUUCUGGAUUUGUAUAUUUGGAUAUAAGCGUCAAAUUUUCAACUUAUUGACUAAACAGUUUUGCAUUAAAUAUUGCCAAUGCUAUCUAUUAUUAUUAUUUCCCUCCAAGAUAACAUGUCAAGUCUUUAUUGUACCCCUUAAGCUCUGUUAUACCAGAAAAAUCUUGUAAUGAAAUCAUUUUGUUUUUUUUUUCUUUUUAAAUUAAAUCCAUGAAA